UACGGAGGAUCCGAGCGUUAUCCGGAUUUAUUGGGUUUAAAGGGUGCGUAGGCUGCUUUUUAAGUCAGCGGUGAAAUUUUGCAGCUUAACUGUAAAAGUGCCUUCGAAACUGGUUUCCUUGAGUGUAGAUGAAGUAGGCGGAAUUUGUGGUGUAGCGGUGAAAUGCAUAGGUAUCACGAGGAACUCCGAUUGCGCAGGCAGCUUACUAAACUACUACUGACGCUCAGGCACGAAGGCGUGGGGAUCAAACAGGAUUAGAUACUCGUGUAGU
This 271-nucleotide ribosomal RNA is filed under the name uncultured prokaryote. RNAcentral describes it as "partial 16S ribosomal RNA". It matches the Rfam family "Bacterial small subunit ribosomal RNA", at positions 524 to 794 of the family's 1533-position model. The record is from RNAcentral.